AGUGAACGCUGGCGGCAGGCCUAACACAUGCAAGUCGAACGGCAGCACAGGGGAGCUUGCUCCCUGGGUGGCGAGUGGCGGACGGGUGAGGAAUACAUCGGAAUCUGCCCUGUCGUGGGGGAUAACGUAGGGAAACUUACGCUAAUACCGCAUACGACCUUCGGGUGAAAGAGGGGGAUCGCAAGACCUCUCGCGAUUGGAUGAGCCGAUGUCGGAUUAGCUAGUUGGCGGGGUAAAGGCCCACCAAGGCGACGAUCCGUAGCUGGUCUGAGAGGAUGAUCAGCCACACUGGAACUGAGACACGGUCCAGACUCCUACGGGAGGCAGCAGUGGGGAAUAUUGGACAAUGGGCGCAAGCCUGAUCCAGCCAUGCCGCGUGAGUGAAGAAGGCCUUCGGGUUGUAAAGCUCUUUUGUCCGGAAAGAAAAGCAUUCGGUUAAUAACCGGGUG
RNAcentral lists this ribosomal RNA (449 nucleotides) under uncultured Lysobacteraceae bacterium. RNAcentral's name for it is "bacterial SSU rRNA". It matches the Rfam family "Bacterial small subunit ribosomal RNA", at positions 29 to 484 of the family's 1533-position model. The record is from RNAcentral. Lineage: Bacteria; Pseudomonadati; Pseudomonadota; Gammaproteobacteria; Lysobacterales; Lysobacteraceae.